AUACUUACCUGGCAGGGGAGCUACCAUGAUCAAGAAUCAGGGCAAGGCUCAGCCAUUGCUCUCCGGUUGUGCUGACCCCUGCGAAGUCCCCAAAUGUGGGAAUCUCGACUGCAUAAUUUGUGGUAGUGGGGGACUGCGUUCGCGCUCUCCCCUU
Molecule: small nuclear RNA, 154 nt
Filed under: Cottoperca gobio
Lineage: Eukaryota; Metazoa; Chordata; Actinopteri; Perciformes; Bovichtidae
Description: U1 spliceosomal RNA (ENSCGOG00000001882.1)
Rfam family: U1 spliceosomal RNA
About the family: U1 is a small nuclear RNA (snRNA) component of the spliceosome (involved in pre-mRNA splicing). Its 5' end forms complementary base pairs with the 5' splice junction, thus defining the 5' donor site of an intron.
Source: Rfam by way of RNAcentral